This 65-nucleotide transfer RNA is filed under the name Dendostrea sandvichensis. RNAcentral describes it as "tRNA-Met". It matches the Rfam family "tRNA". From Rfam's summary of the family: Transfer RNA (tRNA) molecules are approximately 80 nucleotides in length. Their secondary structure includes four short double-helical elements and three loops (D, anti-codon, and T loops). Further hydrogen bonds mediate the characteristic L-shaped molecular structure. tRNAs have two regions of fundamental functional importance: the anti-codon, which is responsible for specific mRNA codon recognition, and the 3' end, to which the tRNAs corresponding amino acid is attached (by aminoacyl-tRNA synthetases). tRNAs cope with the degeneracy of the genetic code in two manners: having more than one tRNA (with a specific anti-codon) for a particular amino acid; and 'wobble' base-pairing, i.e. permitting non-standard base-pairing at the 3rd anti-codon position. Lineage: Eukaryota; Metazoa; Mollusca; Bivalvia; Ostreida; Ostreidae. The record is from RNAcentral.
AGAAAGGUAGUUUAUAUUAAGAACAUCGGUUUCAUAAUCCGAAAGUGGUACUGUACCCCCUUCUA